UACGAAGGGGGCUAGCGUUGCUCGGAAUUACUGGGCGUAAAGGGUGUGUAGGCGGAUAGUUUAGUCAGAGGUGAAAGCCCAGGGCUCAACCCUGGAAUUGCCUUUGAUACUGGCUAUCUUGAGUUCGGGAGAGGUAAGUGGAACUCCGAGUGUAGAGGUGAAAUUCGUAGAUAUUCGGAAGAACACCAGUGGCGAAGGCGACUUACUGGCCCGAUACUGACGCUGAAACACGAAAGCGUGGGGAGCAAACAGG
RNAcentral lists this ribosomal RNA (253 nucleotides) under uncultured bacterium. RNAcentral describes it as "partial 16S ribosomal RNA". It matches the Rfam family "Bacterial small subunit ribosomal RNA", at positions 524 to 776 of the family's 1533-position model. The record is from RNAcentral.